This 852-nucleotide ribosomal RNA is filed under the name Paraburkholderia sp. RNAcentral's name for it is "bacterial SSU rRNA". It matches the Rfam family "Bacterial small subunit ribosomal RNA", at positions 24 to 875 of the family's 1533-position model. Lineage: Bacteria; Pseudomonadati; Pseudomonadota; Betaproteobacteria; Burkholderiales; Burkholderiaceae. The record is from RNAcentral.
CGCGAUGACGCUGGCGGCAUGCCUUACACAUGCAAGUCGAACGGCAGCACGGGGGCAAUCCUGGUGGCGAGUGGCGAACGGGUGAGUAAUACAUCGGAACGUGUCCUGUAGUGGGGGAUAGCCCGGCGAAAGCCGGAUUAAUACCGCAUACGCUCUACGGAGGAAAGGGGGGGAUCUUAGGACCUCCCGCUACAGGGGCGGCCGAUGGCAGAUUAGCUAGUUGGUGGGGUAAAGGCCUACCAAGGCGACGAUCUGUAGCUGGUCUGAGAGGACGACCAGCCACACUGGGACUGAGACACGGCCCAGACUCCUACGGGAGGCAGCAGUGGGGAAUUUUGGACAAUGGGGGAAACCCUGAUCCAGCAAUGCCGCGUGUGUGAAGAAGGCCUUCGGGUUGUAAAGCACUUUUGUCCGGAAAGAAAACCUCUGGGUUAAUACCCCGGGGGGAUGACGGUACCGGAAGAAUAAGCACCGGCUAACUACGUGCCAGCAGCCGCGGUAAUACGUAGGGUGCAAGCGUUAAUCGGAAUUACUGGGCGUAAAGCGUGCGCAGGCGGUCCGCUAAGACAGAUGUGAAAUCCCCGGGCUUAACCUGGGAACUGCAUUUGUGACUGGCGGGCUAGAGUAUGGCAGAGGGGGGUAGAAUUCCACGUGUAGCAGUGAAAUGCGUAGAGAUGUGGAGGAAUACCGAUGGCGAAGGCAGCCCCCUGGGCCAAUACUGACGCUCAUGCACGAAAGCGUGGGGAGCAAACAGGAUUAGAUACCCUGGUAGUCCACGCCCUAAACGAUGUCAACUAGUUGUCGGGUCUUCAUUGACUUGGUAACGUAGCUAACGCGUGAAGUGACCGCCUG